This is a long non-coding RNA of Apis florea (little honeybee), 854 nucleotides long. RefSeq lists it as uncharacterized. The record is from RefSeq and is a predicted model, not a curated record. NCBI's taxonomy places the organism in Eukaryota, Metazoa, Arthropoda, Insecta, Hymenoptera, Apidae.
UUUCUUUUUGCAGAUGAAAGAUCCAUUAUUUAUUCAUCUAUAAAAACGUAUUAAAAAAUUAUACUCUCUUCCAUAUCCAAUUCAACUUUUGCGCAAAAUAAUUUUUAUAGAAGCAAACAUCAACGAAUUAUUUGAAACGGUCACGUUAUCCUGCAUAUAAUUACCAAAUUUCCACAAAAAUAUAUACCUACCCAAGCAAAAUGUUUACGUGAUGUCAGCUGAUAACUCCAUAAAAUCACGCAUACGUGGCAACAACGACAGUCAAACUGUCGAUUAUUUUUAAAUUUCAAUUCUAUUUUUACCAUCUCGACCAUCGACGAGUCGUUAAUUUUACAAUUUUUCUUUUAUAAAUUAGAAAUAAAAACGAAGAACCUUAUCGAUAUACGUUUGAUAAAAUUAUUGCACGUGAUUUCUAGGAAAUCGAGGGAUCAAUUCGUGGACCUUCCUUCAAGUUUCUGGAAAACACGCGAUUCCGGAAUUAAGAGGCAGGCCCCGACGUUCGUUUGGGUGAAGAUCGAUAAAAUUGCCGUGCUAAGUAUUCACAAUGCCAAACGGCUCUCGCCAUCCUGGAUAAGGUGAUAAAUUUCGCUUGAAUCGAAUCUCAGACACGAUUCCGUUUACGUGAAAGUGGAAUGAAAAAAAGAGGAGAGGAUAAAGGAAAGUGGAAAUCAAAGUGUGAUUUACUUUCUAACAUAUAUAGUUUGUUAAUGACACAACGUUUGUUGUAAUGAAACAGAAACCUGGAAUUAUACGUUUGAAAAUUGUGGAUUAGAAAGAAAUGAGAUAAGAAAUUUUCUUUCCUCGUAGAUUUUUAACUUUUUUUUUUUUUUUUUUUUUUGGAAUACAGAAAAGAA